GUCAGCGUGGUGUAGUGGUUUGAGCGUUGGACUAGGAUUCUGGAGACCAGGGUUUGAAUCCCAAUUCUGCCA
Phrynosoma platyrhinos (Desert horned lizard) is the source of this 72-nucleotide non-coding RNA. NCBI's taxonomy places the organism in Eukaryota, Metazoa, Chordata, Lepidosauria, Squamata, Phrynosomatidae. The record is from the annotation of a GenBank genome assembly.